Molecule: long non-coding RNA, 291 nt
Organism: Apis dorsata (giant honeybee)
Lineage: Eukaryota; Metazoa; Arthropoda; Insecta; Hymenoptera; Apidae
Exons: 2
Source: RefSeq, a predicted model, not a curated record
AGAGUUGAUAAGUAUGUAAUUAUACAAAUUUAAUUUGUAUUCAAAAAAAAGCAAUUCUAAUUAAUCCAUGACAAAAAUGCUGAAUCCCCACAUAUUGCAGUUAAAAAAACUGAAUUUUUGGCACGGUCUUCCAAACUCGUAUCUCCCCUGGGUUAUUUGCGGACUGCCUUUAAAGCGUCGUUAAGAAACCCUGUCUGAUCAUGACCAACUUAAAGAUACGUUUUUUCCAACUUUUUUAUUAAAUAUCUCAAAGAAUGAAUGUGAUACUUCUCAAUAGAUCUAAUUUCGAUU